Molecule: non-coding RNA, 459 nt
Organism: Styela clava
Lineage: Eukaryota; Metazoa; Chordata; Ascidiacea; Stolidobranchia; Styelidae
Source: RefSeq, a predicted model, not a curated record
AUUUCAUGCUGUAACAGCUAACUGUAAAACACGUAGUUCCUAAAUAAGAAGAAUGGCUACAGGAUGGUAAAUACGAGAUGGCAAUGUCACCUAAACAAAAUUCGCUCGGCGAAUGACAUCAGAAAGCAAAAUUCAUGCAUCGGAAUGUCAGAGUAUAUGAGUGGCGACGAUGCAGUGCGACAACGUCCCAAAUGUGAUUGAAUUUUUUUGUCUCCGCCUUGUUCAAUCUUUCAUCUGGGCGUUUUGAAGAGGUAUGUACUCACUUCAAAUAUAAAUACUUGCACCACCUUCGGGCAGACGUCGAAUUGAAAUUAGCGAUAAGAAUAGCACUCAAUAUACAUCGGAUUGUCUUAAAAAACAUUUUACCGAGAAAGAAAAGUAUAGUAAGUACUAAGUUCUGACGAAAAUGAUUUUAUGAAAAGUAUUGCAAAAAUAUAUGGUAACUGUAAUCGAAAAAAA